GAUGAACGCUAGCGGCAGGCUUAACACAUGCAAGUCGAGGGGUAGUAUUGGAGCUUGCUCUAAUAUGAGACCGGCGCACGGGUGCGUAACGCGUAUAGAACCUACCUUAAUCAAAGGGAUAGCCCAGAGAAAUUUGGAUUAAUACCUUAUGUGAUUAUAGAGUGGCAUCACUUAAUAAUUAAAGAUUUAUCGGAUUAAGAUGGCUAUGCGUCCCAUUAGCUAGUUGGUAUGGUAACGGCAUACCAAGGCGAUGAUGGGUAGGGGUCCUGAGAGGGAGAUCCCCCACACUGGUACUGAGACACGGACCAGACUCCUACGGGAGGCAGCAGUGAGGAAUAUUGGUCAAUGGAGGCAACUCUGAACCAGCCAUGCCGCGUGCAGGAAGAAGGUCUUAUGGAUUGUAAACUGCUUUUAUACAGGAAGAAACCUACUCUUGCGAGAGUAAUUGACGGUACUGUAAGAAUAAGGACCGGCUAACUCCGUGCCAGCAGCCGCGGUAAUACGGAGGGUUCGAGUGUUAUCCGGAAUCAUUGGGUUUAAAGGGUUCGUAGGCGGUUGAAUAAGUCAGUGGUGAAAGUUUUCGGCUCAACCGGAAAAAUGCCAUUGAUACUGUUUAGCUUGAAUUAGUGUGAAGUAAUUAGAAUAAGUAGUGUAGCGGUGAAGUGCAUAGAUAUUACUUAGAAUACCGAUUGCGAAGGCAGAUUACUAACACUAAAUUGACGCUGAUGGACGAAAGCGUGGGGAGCGAACAGG
This 753-nucleotide ribosomal RNA is filed under the name uncultured bacterium. Its description in RNAcentral is "bacterial SSU rRNA". It matches the Rfam family "Bacterial small subunit ribosomal RNA", at positions 28 to 776 of the family's 1533-position model. The record is from RNAcentral.